RNAcentral lists this ribosomal RNA (760 nucleotides) under uncultured archaeon. RNAcentral describes it as "bacterial SSU rRNA". It matches the Rfam family "Archaeal small subunit ribosomal RNA", at positions 111 to 879 of the family's 1478-position model. The record is from RNAcentral.
CCCCAUUGGAGGGGGAACCCCGGGAACUGGGGAUAAUACCCCAUAGACUAUGGAUGCUGGAAUGCUCUGUAGUUGAAAGGUCCGCCGCCAUAGGAUGGGUCUGCGGCCGAUUAGGUUGUUGUUGGGGUAACGGCCCAACAAGCCUGUAAUCGGUACGGGUUGUGGGAGCAAGAGCCCGGAGAUGGAUUCUGAGACACGAAUCCAGGCCCUACGGGGCGCAGCAGGCGCGAAAACUUUACAAUGCAGGAAACCGUGAUAAGGGAACUCCGAGUGCCCGUAAAAUCGGGCUGUCCAUCUGUUUAAAUAACAGGUAAAGAAAGGGCCGGGCAAGACCGGUGCCAGCCGCCGCGGUAAUACCGGCGGCUCGAGUGGUGGCCACUAUUACUGGGCUUAAAGCGUUCGUAGCUGGUUUGUUAAGUCUCUGGGGAAAUCUGCCGGCUCAACCGGCAGGCGUUCCAGGGAUACUGGCAGACUAGGGACCGGGAGAGGUGAGGGGUACUCCAGGGGUAGGAGUGAAAUCCUGUAAUCCUUGGGGGACCACCUGUGGCGAAGGCGCCUCACCAGAACGGCUCCGACAGUGAGGGACGAAAGCUGGGGGAGCAAACCGGAUUAGAUACCCGGGUAGUCCCAGCCGUAAACGAUGCGCGUUAGGUGUAUCGGUGACCACGAGUCACCGAGGUGCCGAAGAGAAAUCGUGAAACGUGCCGCCUGGGAAGUACGGUCGCAAGGCUGAAACUUAAAGGAAUUGGCGGGGGAGCAC